This 264-nucleotide long non-coding RNA is filed under the name Physcomitrium patens. RNAcentral describes it as "long non-coding RNA (PPAT_LNC001044)". Lineage: Eukaryota; Viridiplantae; Streptophyta; Bryopsida; Funariales; Funariaceae. The record is from RNAcentral.
CUUUUUUGUUAUUCGAUGUAGUUUAGAAAUCUAAAUUAAUACCUGCAUUGUUUACAAUGAAGUGAAAGGAUUGUUCGAAGUAGUUAAGAAAGGUUGCAUUCUCUUAGGGUCUUUACGCUACUAAGCACAUUAUUUGACUUAUUAUCUCACUCUUUAUUCUGAACCUUUGCUACAAUUAUUCCUUCCAACCGUGAGUGCAACUUUGCUUUUUCAUUGUUGUUGUUGUUGUUGUUGUUGUUGUUUUUUUUUUUUUUUUUUUUUUUU